RNAcentral lists this ribosomal RNA (638 nucleotides) under uncultured bacterium. RNAcentral's name for it is "bacterial SSU rRNA". It matches the Rfam family "Bacterial small subunit ribosomal RNA", at positions 28 to 674 of the family's 1533-position model. The record is from RNAcentral.
AUUGAACGCUGGCGGUAUGCCUAACACAUGCAAGUCGAACGAGGUAGCAAUACCUAGUGGCGGACGGGUGAGGAAUACGUAGGGAUCUGCCCUUAAGUGGGGGAUAACCCGGGGAAACCCGGAUUAAUACCGCAUGAUCUCGCAAGAGCAAAGAGGGGGACCGCAAGGCCUCUCGCUUUUGGAGGAACCUACGUCGGAUUAGCUAGUUGGUGAGGUAAUGGCUCACCAAGGCGACGAUCCGUAACUGGUCUGAGAGGAUGAUCAGUCACACCGGAACUGAGACACGGUCCGGACUCCUACGGGAGGCAGCAGUGGGGAAUAUUGGACAAUGGGCGAAAGCCUGAUCCAGCAAUACCGCGUGUGUGAAGAAGGCCUUCGGGUUGUAAAGCACUUUAAGUUGGGAAGAAAAAGCUUCACCUAAUACGUGAAGCCUUGACGGUACCGACAGAAUAAGCACCGGCUAACUCUGUGCCAGCAGCCGCGGUAAUACAGAGGGUGCGAGCGUUAAUCGGAAUUACUGGGCGUAAAGCGUGCGCAGGCGGUUUCGUAAGACAGAGGUGAAAUCCCCGGGCUCAACCUGGGAACUGCCUUUGUGACUGCGAAGCUAGAGUACGGCAGAGGGGGGUGGAACUCCAGGU